AUGAAGCAGGUCAUCUUCUGGUAGGUAAGUACUUUGUUAUUUGAUUUUAUGCUGGGAGAAUGGUAUCUACUUCCUGAUGAAAUAUAAAUUGAUUUUUUUUUUAUAAAUAAAGAUCCUUUGGAACCUUAGUGCACAAUCUGCAAGAAGGCAGAGAAUUUUGAUGUCAAAUGUGGAAAACUAUUUCUGCACAUUCAUUGCUCACCUCUUUUCUGUUUUAACUUACGUGAGGUGAUUCAACAAUGGAUGACCAUUUCAACAGUAGUGAAUUUCUUGUCUGGUACUAGCCUAUGUAACUAAUUGUCAAAUUCAUUUUGCAGCUUACCUUAUGGGUUGCCCAAU
RNAcentral lists this unclassified non-coding RNA (339 nucleotides) under Hevea brasiliensis (rubber tree). The record is from RNAcentral. Lineage: Eukaryota; Viridiplantae; Streptophyta; Magnoliopsida; Malpighiales; Euphorbiaceae.